GCGGGGGUGCGGCCGGUUUGAACUGCCGGCCGGGCCGGCUCUGCCUUCCCCCGCCGAGGGGGGCCGGGACCCGCUGGGCCCGGCUCGGUUCCCCUCACGGAGCCGGGGGUGCGCUGCGGAGAGCGAGGUUACUUUGUGCUCUUUCAAAAUGAAUGGUGAAGAGGAAGUAUGGGGAAAACUCGAUGCAGAAUUUGAUCACUGUGUUGUGGAUAUGAAGCCUCAUGUUCUAAAACUCCAGCAUAGGUCAGAACGACAGAGAUGUGCAUUGUGGAUUAAAAAGCUAUGUGAACCCUCUGGAGCGGGCACAGGAGUAGCGGGCAGGAAGAAUCGGAAUCUAUAUGCAAAACUCCUGCUCCAUAUGCUAAAGCGGGGUGUGCUGGAAGGUCCUUUUACGCAUAAACCAGAACCAGGGAUACUGAAAACUUUACCUUCGUACAUGUCAAUUUAUUUUGAUGAACCAAAUUCAAGAAGAGUUCGGAGUAGUAGCCCAGACUGCUUACCUGACUGGGUAAUGGGAGAACUGGGAAGCAAUGACUCUAAGCAUGAGGUAUCCUGGAGUAUAUCUUCUAAAGAGGAAUUUUCUUUAGCAACACCACCUACAUACGGGGAAAGAUUCAAGUACAAUGAGAAGCCAUCAUUAAGAUCACAUUCUAUGAGUCCUCCUCACCGGACAGCUGAAGAUAACCCAGCCACACCACAGUCUGACCAUCGUCAUAAAAAACCCAGUUCUUUGGAUGACAGUGACCUCGAAGCACGUCUCAAUAGUUGGAAUCUUGGGUUAGAAAAUCCAAGAUACUUGCGAGAAAAACCAAUGCCAGUGUCUUUGAUGACACCCAAAAUGGACCGAGGAAAAAGCAGCCCUGUACGUGAUGAGCAGGCGCUGUUUCGAAGAGAGCUGGACAUUAAAAUGAAAAUAGCGGAAGGUAAAUUUCAUGAAGAAAAGCUUAAAUUACAGCAAAAGCACGAUGCUGAUGUUCAAAAGAUUUUGGAUAGAAAGAAUGAUGAAAUCGAGGCCUUGAAGUCCCUCUACAAAACCAAACAAAGUGAAGCUGAGGAGACUAUUAGAAAGCUGGAGACCAAAGUUCAGACCCUUCUUCGUGAGUCGCAAGUCGUCAGAGAAGCGAAAGAGAAGCAGAUUGUGGAGUUAAAGAAGAUGUGUGAGCAAAGCAAUGAGUCUUUGAACAAUGAAUGGGAGAAAAGGCUUCAUAAUGCUGUGGCUGAAAUGGAGAAGGAGAAGUUUAAUAUUCGGAAGAAGCACACAGAAGAUAUGCAGGAGCUGCUGGAGGACACCAACACUCGUCUUGACAAAAUGGAGGAAGAUUAUUUGGAACAGAUAAAGUCAACUAACCAGACUGUCAAAGAACUGGAGGCUCGUGUCCAGCAGUUGACUGUUGAGGCUGAAAAUAGUAAUUUACAGCGUCAGAAAUUAUCUCAAGAAAAGGCUGAUGCAGAACAGCGUUACCAGGUGGUGUGCUCUGAACUUCAGGAUGUGAAAGCAAGGCACAGCUCACUUCAGAAAGACAAGGACCGUAUUAUACAGGAAUAUGAGAAGAACAUUCAGCAACUACAAAGUAAAUAUGAUGUUGAUAUAAAUUUUAUAAAGCAGGAACAUGCUCUCUCUGCAGCUAAGGCAUCUGAUGCGAUUGAAGAAUUGCAGCACAGUGUGGCUCUAUUAAAACAACAGCUACAAGAUUCAGAACAUCAAAGACAGCAACAGCUGAGGGAUCAAGAAUACAAGCUUCAACAGGAGAAACUUCACUUGGAGCGUGUAUAUGAAAAACAGAUUCAUGGCAUCCGAAAUGAUCUUGAUAAAGAAAGAGGGGAUGCUCAGAAGAAAAUUCGCAAACUGGAAGAAGCUUUGAAGGAGAAGGAGGAGCAGCUGACUCGGGUGACAGAGGUACAGAGGCUGCAGGCCCAGCAGGCAGAUGCUGCCCUGGAGGAGUUUAAGCGGCAGGUGGAGCUGAAGUCAGAAAAAGUCUAUGCUGAAAUGAAACAGCAGAUGGAAAAGGUUGAAGCAGAUCUAAGCAGAUCAAAAUCGCUCCGGGAAAAGCAAUCCAAAGAAUUCUCUUGGCAAUUGGAAGAGCUCAAGCAGAGAUAUGAGCAACAGAUAGUGGAGCUGAAGCUGGAGCAUGAACAGGAGAAGACGCACCUAUUCCAGCAGCACAACGCAGAGAAGGACUGCCUGGUCCGAGACCACGAACGGGAAAUCGAGAAACUGGAGAAGCAGCUUCGCGCUGCCAUGGCAGAGCACGAGAGUAAAACUCAAGAAUGCAGGAAGCGAGACGGGCAGGUUAUCUGUGAUAUGGAGAACCAAAUCCACAAGCUGAAGGAAGAGCUUAUUCAGGUGAAUACUCAGCGGAAGCAGCAGCUGCUGGAGCUGGGCCAUCAGUGGGAAGAGGAGAAGCAGAGGGCAGCUCGAGACCAUGAGGUGGCAGUGAACAAGCUGAAAGUGGAGGCAGAAAGAAAGAUGUUAGACCUGAAAAGGAUACAUACAGCAGAAACAGAGAAGGCUUUAGACAAGGCAAACUGCCGGCUGAAGCAGGCUGAAAAGGAGUACGGUCAGAAGCUGGCUAAAUCCUCGCAGAUCAUAGCUGAACUUAAGACAACCAUUUCCUCUCUGACAGAGGAGAGCAGCCGGCAGCAGCUUGCCGCAGAGCAGCGGCUCCAGGAAGUUGUACAAAAGUUUGAAGAUAAGAAGCAGCAGCUGAUUACAGAUAAUGACAGAGCAAUCAAGGCCUUACAAGAUGAAGUGGAAAGUUACCACAGUCUGGCACGGGCUGCAGAGAAGAAGCUGCAACACAGGGAGCUGGAGACCCACGAGCAGAUGACCCAUAUACGACAAGAAUAUGAAGCCACACUCAAAGGCCUGAUGCCAGCAACUUUGAGACAGGAACUUGAAGACACCAUUGUAUCUUUGAAAUCUCAGGUAAAUAUUCUGCAGAAAAGAGUCUCUGUCCUCCAGGAAGAGCUGAACGUCUACCAGGCCAGAAGGUAGCUGCUGGAGCUGUUGGAUUUCUUCGGUUGCCAAAUGGACUGCUUUGAAUAGAUUGCCUCAGUAUCCAUUCUUUUGACUUUCAACAAAAGCAUCUCAAGGCCAGGUUGGACGGGGCUUGGAGCAACCUGCUCUAGUGGGAGGUGUCCCUGCCCGUGGCAGGGGCUUGGAACUAGAUGAGCUUUAAGGUCCCUUCCAACCCAAACCAUUCUAUCAUCUACACAGAGAGGUGCAGGACAGUGAUGGUUGCACUCUUCGGGAGGAGCACCAAGAGCUCGCGCUGGGAUUUACCUGCUGGGUAUUGCCCUGUGUCCUAAUAGGCAGGAGGACAGUGAAAUCUCUCUUCUCAUGCAUGAAGGAAAUAAGGCAUUUUUAAUAUUGCUGUUCUGCUUGUGUGUCUGCAUGAAUUCCAGGUGGUUACAGUGCUUUCGAAAGCAGUAAGGGGAAUAUGUCCAGACAGAAAGACAUGGACCCUCUUCUAGCUAGUUGAAUUCAGGCUUCAAUUUCCUUACUUUUGAUGGACUUGGGUUGCUGAUGUCAUUGAUGAUCAAAAAGCAGUUUCAGAAAUGUACAUGUUGGUCAAUCAGGGAGUUUUUAAACUGUGGGAAACUCUCUCCUACAUCAAACACAGCGUGAGGACCAUUUUGAAGGCGCUUGUAAACCUGAUAAGAACUUAAACUCCAGGUUGGUUGGAGUUCUCUCGUAGUUGUUAACAUUUCUUUGAUCACUUUUAUAACAAGUAGUGUCCAAAUGGCAGAAUUAGAAAUGUUUUCAUACAUAUUACCUGCUCUCUACUUCUCCUUUCAUCUGCUAGGUAAGGAAUUGCCAGCGGCUAGUAGUUGGCUUCAUUGUCCACAAAACAAGCUCUGGUGAAACCAGCUUGAGUAUGGUUACAGCUUUAUUUGUACUUCUUAUUUAUUUUACUGGUUUUGCUCUGUGAAAGAAGAUUUGUUUCACUUUAUAUAAAACCCCACAAGAAAAAGGGGUACCAUAACAUUUUUCACCAGUACCAAGGGAGGUGACCCUAAUCAAGGUGACACGUUAUUUCAGUGCCACUCACAGUUCUUGUGUUACAGGUAACAAAUACACUCAUUUCUGGUGCAGUUGGAAGAAAAGGGAUACAACCUCCCUCCUCCUCCCAGCCCUCUGCUUUCUGCUGCAACAGUGCUUUAAUUGUGCUGGUGACAGUAGAUACUCCUGGUACUUGCCCAAAUCUCUGCUGACUGUGCUUUCAAACCAAGAAAUGAUUUUGCUGCAGAGAAAAGGAUUUUAUUGUCACUAGAAGAAAAUAUUUGCAAUCACUAGGAUAUCUUGCAGUGUUUCAUUGAAUUUCCUGAAAACCAUGCACAGCUUUGAUUCUAGUGACGAGCAGUCCUGAUGGAGAGUGUACAUGGGAUCUGAUUUAUUUCCUUUAAUUAUCUUUGUGCACUGCAAGUCCUUCCCAAAUCACAAAAUGUACUGGAGGCACCACGCUACUAAAUUAUACUUGGUCUUGUUCUGAGGGUACAAAGGAAAAGGCGUCAGAUAUUGUAUGAGAAAGUUUCAGAACACAAGGUCACUUUAAUUCAGACUUUAUUUUCCAAGGAACUAUCAUUUCUAAGCUUUGAUAUUUUGUUCAGAGAGGUCAUUUCUUUUAAGCCUUUGUCAUUAAAGAAGACUUGUUCUUUAAAGCGCGCUAUCAAAGGGUGCAGAAAUUGCAAGUUACUGAAGCUAAAACGCAUGAUCAAUUUUAAGUCUGCCAACUACAGCCCACUUAAAGUUCGAUGUGCUCUGGGACUGGUGGCUUCUUUGAUGGAGCCAGUGGAAGAUGUGCAGUUGGUCAACUCAAACCAAAAAAAGAUAAUUCAAUAACAUUUUUCCUCCCUAAAUUAGAAAUCGUUUUGUGUGAAAAAGCAUUGAAAGAACUGAAUAAGGAUCUGAUCCUGCAAAAACGUGUCUUGUGUGAGAGGACAGGGAGUGCGCGGCGUUUGGGAGCAGCUUGUACCACUUUGACAUAGGAAUGACGCAGCUCCCUUUUGUGUUAUCUGACAUUUGUAAUAAUGUAAAUAAGGCAAGCUCCUGGACAAAGUAUCACUUAUUUACCACUUGCUACCACAAGAUGAUCUCUCCUUCACUGACAGGCAAACAUGGGAACAGAGAAGAGUGAAGCUCUUGUGUCAUGCGCUUGUUUGCAGCCCCUGAUCCUGACCUCUGCUGAUGCAGCCUUUAUUCCAUGAACCUGUAUUAUGUCAGCACAUGUAUCACACUUAGUCUCAGUACUUAGGACUGAAAACAAGGAAACGUGUGUUUGUAGAGUGAGCAAAGUAAAGGAAUACCUUAAUCUCAGCUGGGCAGUUAGGUUACACCACUUCCAACUUCAUAACCUCUAUUCACCAGAUUUAUACUUUAGGAAUCUUCUUUUUCUCCCAUUUGAAACGUGGUAUCAAAGUUUAAUAACAGGCAGAUUUGGCCAUCAUUUCAAAAGAAGGUUGUUCGUCCUAAUUCUGUGGUGUUCUUAUUUAAGCCAAACUAAUGCUGAAGUUCACUUUGUCCAGUUUUGCCCAAAAAGGCUUCAAGGAAUUUAUUAAAAUUCUAGACCUAGAAUCCAUAAGAAAUCUGUCUGUCAGAGUGAUCCUGAGCUGAAAUUGAGGAUUCGGUAAUACCACCUUUGUC
Molecule: RNA transcript, 5644 nt
Organism: Strigops habroptila (Kakapo)
Lineage: Eukaryota; Metazoa; Chordata; Aves; Psittaciformes; Psittacidae
Gene: CEP112
Gene name: centrosomal protein 112
Exons: 28
Source: RefSeq, a predicted model, not a curated record